Molecule: long non-coding RNA, 7834 nt
Organism: Anolis carolinensis (green anole)
Lineage: Eukaryota; Metazoa; Chordata; Lepidosauria; Squamata; Anolidae
Exons: 5
Source: RefSeq, a predicted model, not a curated record
UCUCACUUAUCCAACAUAAACGGGCCGGCAGAACGUUGGAUAAGCGAAUAUGUUGGAUAAUAAGGAGAGAUUAAGGAAAAGCCUAUUAAACAUCAAAUUAAGUUAUGAUUUUACAAAUUAAGCACCAAAACAUCAUGAUAUACAACAAAUUUGACAGAAAAAGUAGUUCAAUACACAGUAAUGAUAUGUAGUAAUUACUGUAUUUAUGAAUUUAGCACCAAAAUAUCACGAUGUAUUGAAAACAUUGACUACAAAAAUGCGUUGGAUAAUCCAGAACGUUGGAUAAGCAAGUGUUGGAUAAGUGAGACCCUACUGUAUUUAUUCUGGUGCACCUCACUUUCCAUUUCCCACUGGUUUCUCCUUCACCCCAAUGUUGCUUUAACCUUUCCCACUGCUCACUCCCUACCAUUUCCUCUUCCGAUUAACUAUUUCAGAGUUCUGUAGAAGGAUCUCUGUAUCCCAAGCAGUAACUUCACAUAUUCUGGCUCCAAUCAUAAUUUUGCCUUUAGGGGAGGUUUGAGAAGUCUGCCACCUACUGACUAACACUGUGACUGCAGGCUAGAGGCAUUUUUAAAAACAAAAAUCAAACUAUUUUAUAAACAAAUAAAAAUAAAUACAUGACAUGGCUGCUAGCAUCAAAACUUUUGCCGAUCUCCAUUUUGAAGGUUCUUAUCUUUUAAAACAGGCUUUGAUUAGAUAUCUUUCACAGAGAGAAGACUUGGACAACCCUGUCCCUCUCCCAAGGGCCCCAGAUCUUCAAAGGUAAUCUCUCAGGGGCCAGGAAGGAGGAGAACGAAGAAGAUGGCCCAUUCUUUCCCUCCCUUCCUUGCCACCCUUUUCUUUUUUGUCUCUUGCAUGACACUUGUAGGCCUUGGGGAAGUAAUUGUUCCCUUUGCAGAAGUCCCAGUUGCUUGCAGAAGGCUUUUCAACUUAGGACAAAGGCUGCAGGUAGUUAGGUUGAGGGCCAAGGCUACAUUUCCAAUGAUGCAAUUGGAACAAAUACUCCAAGGACUUCUGAGAUUAAGAACCCUGUGCUGUUGCUAGCACUAUACAUGCACAUGCACAGGUGUGUGAGCACAUAAACAUACACACAUAGGCACAUCCUGUACCUUGGUGAUAGGGAGCUCAUAAACCUUUCUUCCCCACUCCCCCAAAGGUAGCAGCAUUUCUCACCAUCCUAUUUGAAUCUUUCAGCCUCAGAGGGAAUGAGAAUGCUUAUGUUACGUUGGGGACACUACUACUGUGGCAGUCAUGUCAGCUGGGACAAAAGAGUGCUCCUCCCUUGUGAUCGAAAGGGACCUCAGGAGGCAGCUGCUUGGCAGCAUUGCCAAGUCUGAGCUACUGCAGUGCCACCCUGGCCCUCCAAAAGGGUUGCUUGCACAAAUACAAAAAGUGGGUGGGAAGGGGUGUCUCUUUAGGAUCCUGAGUCCUAUAAUCUAGCCUCGCUGAUGUUGACUGUCCGCCCACUCUUGAAACAGAUGGUGUCUUCAGAUUGAGGAAUGGCCUUCUUCUGAGAAGAUAGAUAUGCGACCUCUCUCCUUCCAGUAUUUGGGCUUAACAUACAAGCCAUUGCAUUUCCAGGGGCCUACAUCUAUGAGAGCUGUCUAACCAUCUUCAUUGGAAAUUCAGGGAAGGAAAACAGGAUUGAAACAGCUAAUCAAAACGUGCUUGAGAACCCUGGCAGUCCACUGGAGCAGGGGUGACGUGAUAUUUUUAGGCUCCAAUCCUGGCACAGCCCUCCUUCUGAAGGUUCAUAACACAAAAACAAGUGAAGAGAGAUCACAGAGUGGAAAUCCAAAUCUCUGCACUCCUGCGGAAAUCUUUCUCCCCAUCAGACCUCCCAAGUCAGGAGACCCCUUGAAAUAGGACACUUUCUUCAUGUCCAGGCGGAGCCACAAAGAGGCACAACAUCCCUUUUAAACAAAGACCAGGUAAGUGAAUAAAUCAGCCAUGAGAUCAAAUUUCCUGUGCGCCAGAGAGGGAAAAAAAUGUCCUUGUAAAACACAAGAGAAAAUUGACCUGCCAAGGGAAUAGAUGGACAAUGCGAUCAGCACCUGCUUUCCCCUAGAAUCCAGUGCCUUGUCUGCAAAAACCAUGUGGGGAAGCCCACAAAAAGAGGGGAGUCCCAUUCUCUCCCCCCCAAUGGAGGCCAAGAGAAGCCAGGCAUUUAACAAGCCUCCUCCUUCACAAGGGAUUGUACCCAGCACAGCUGUAGCAGCCAGUCUAACAAUAAAACAGAUGAAGACCAGUGAUCCUGUCAGCAGACAGUUAGACAGCUUUUCUUUCAUUUUCGUCUCUUCCCCACCCGCUGGAACUGCUGAGCAUCUCCCUAACCUCAUCCCUCUUUCCUGUGCAAUUGACUGACCUCAAUUGGCACAGGAGUCCAUUUGGCUUCUGCUGUUGCGCAUUUGCCUGGUGCCAAUUUACCUUGAGCAGCGGAUCCUGCUUUUUCAAAGACAACCACACAGACAGGUUGAGGCAGCAUUGGGAAAAUUCAAUCUGGGGGACCCCAUGAAAUCUAGAGGAAUCUGGAGACUGUAGUCCAAAAAGAAUCCUUUCUGAGGUUGGAGUUGACACACAUGAGGCUCAGGUCCAGGCUAUUUGGCAGAUGUUAUCUCCUGGUACGAACCUUCACAGGCUCCAAGACCCUUAGGAGAGGUCCUUCUCUUGGUCCCAUCAGCAUCACAAGAACUGUUGGUGUGAAUGAGAGAGUGAGCCUUCCUUCUCGGUGGCUGCCCCUCAGCUCCGGAACUCCCUUCUUCCCAGGGAAGCCAGAGUGGCCCCUUCCUGCUGUCCUUCUAGAGGCAAGCUAUACCCUCUCUAUUCAGAUAGACUUUUAAAGAAGAAAGCUUUAAAGAUCGAAUCAAGGAAUGGGCUGUUUAAUGAAAUUUAAUAGAUUUUCAGACUGUAUUCUUCUCACUCCGUGGUGGCCUCAUCAGCCGUGGUUCUCACCACUGCUACAGCUGUCCAAGGAGGAGUACUUCUGUUUACUGGAUCGCCCCAAUCUGCUAACGUCCCAAGGGGGUAUGGUUCUGCACCCGGACACGCAUUGCCUUAACAGCGUGGCGAAUCCGUCCACCACAAUAACUUCUUCAUUAUCUUCGUCAGUGCAAAAGAUCUUGGCUGCAGCUCACAGGGCAUCUACAAAGCGAUCAUACACUUAUAAAUAGUCACGUUUUUCAUCAUUUGGGCAAUGUAAGGGGGUAUUGCCCGAAUCUGCCCCGUCUCCUGUAGUUCUGGACUUUUUAGGUUUGCUUGCUGAUACGGGAUUGUCAUUUUCAUUGUUGAAAUGUUACCUCGUGGCGAUAUCCUGGUAUAGAAGGAAGGCUGGUCUUCCAUCUUGUUUUGCCGAUCCUUUGGUUGCUCUUUUUCUUCAGAGCUUUAAGAAUUUGAGACCAUCAAUUGCACCCGUGGUCCCAUCCUGGAGUUUAGAGUUAGUUCUUUCGACUUUGACCAAGCUGCCAUUUGAACCACUUUCUUCUACGAACUUGUCCUGCCUCUUGUGGAAAACUGCAUUUUUAGUUGCAAUCACUUCCACUCGACGUGCAAGUGAGUUGUGUUCUCUUCAUUCGGACGCGCCUUAUAUGCGUUUUCAUAAAGAUAAGGUGGUUUUACACACAGAUAUCGCAUUUCUCCCAAAGGUGGCAUCUAGGUUUCAUACUUCUCAAGAAAUAAUCCUUCCAGCUUUUUUCCAGAAUCCAUCUUCUUCAUUAGAAAAGGCCCUUCACAUGUUGGAUGUUUGUAGGGCGCUGUCCUUUUAUGUUGAUAGGACUUCUGAAUUUUGUAAAUCUCCAAGACCUUUUCUAAAAUACCGCAAGGAUGCUAGGGGUUUCCUGUUUCUACUCAGCGGUUAUCAUCUUGGAUUGUUGCCGCAAUUUGCCUUGCCUAUAAGUCAGCGGGCUGGGACUUGCCAGAACACGUGAGAGGUCACUCUACAAGAUCUAUGUUGACCUCUACGGCCUUCAUGAGGGGCUUGCCCUUGGAUGUUGUUUGCCGCGUGGCUGCGUGGUCCACUCCAUUGACGUUUGUCAAGCACUACAAGGUCGAUGAGGCAUCUCAGAAGGAUGCUGAGUUUGGGAGAGCAAUACUUUUUUCUUCGGUGGCAUGACGCCCACAAGCCAAGUUUAGCAUACACUCACCAGGCAUGGAUCCUCUUAUCUGCAGUCUACAAAGUGAUUUCCUUCCCAUCGAAUUCAAUGGAAAAUAGGAAACAGGAAAGAAAAGCAUUACAGCCCAGAUCCAUGAACAAGAAUAAGCUGUCCCUUGCUCACUUGAAGUCCCACUAGGAUGACAACUCCAAUCAAAAUUGUUGUCUGGACAAUGCUGAGAAGACCUCAUAGCAGAUAAGUGUUAAAAUAAGAUUAGGAAUAAAGACAGUUUCUCAAGCAUGGUAUAAUGGAAUGAGCAGCUACAAUUCUGAAAUCAAGAUUCGAUUGGUCACUUGGCCAUGGAAAUAUACUAGAUGGUUUUGGGUGAGUCAUACAUUGUCAGUCCCAGAAAAAGGCCUGUGAUACAGUCACCUUCAGGUUCCCAUAAGACGGAAAUGACUUGAAGUCAUGCAACAACAAAUUAAAUAAAGCAACGUUUAAAAUAUAGUUAGGAAUUCUGUCUUGGUGCUGUUAGGUGGUGAUUUUAUUUUGGCCACAACAGGAUUAAUAAACUGAGAUUUUCCCAAAAUAUUUGGGACUUCAGUUAAGCCAUUUCCCUUCCAUUCCAGAGGGGUCAAAGACAGCAUAUGUUCAUUUACCUUUAUCCCUCCCAGAAGACAAGCAGCACUGUUUCUUUGGUCUUUCUUCAGCAAAGGUAUUUUAUUUGUUAAGUGCUUAAAAUUGUAUGACGUACGAUACAAGAAAUAAAAACAAGAUAAGUGCCUGCCAAAACAGCUUACAAUCUAAAAUAAAUGUAAAAAUAAUGGCAACAGAGUGCUCUUCAGCAUAAAAAUUAGGUGUUUAGUGCCCUCCCCCCUCAAUACAUGAGAAUCAGCUUGAUGCGAUGCAUUCACAAGCUAAGAGUGCAUGCACACACAUUGCUUCCAGAACAUGAUGCAAACAUGUGUUCUGGUCUUCUCUUGUAAGAUAUAUAAACAUGCCUCUGAUGUAGUGCUAAUUGUUCAAUAGGCAGCAGCAAUUCAGUGCUAAUGGGGCCAUGUGGAGUCCCUGUACAAUAGAUAACUUUCCUCAGAAGGAACAGGUAUGCUCCAGAAAGUUUAUAUUUCCUUCCCUUUCUGACUGAUGCAUUCACUAACCCUAAAACUUUGACUAUCCAUCCCUUUCCCUGUGCAUUUUGCCACCUUUUUCACCUUUUAACAUUAAAAUUGGGUUUUCUUGGCGAAAUGUGUUCAGAAGUGGUUUCUCAUUGCCUUCCUCUGAAGCUGAGAGAGUGUGACUUACCCAAAGUCACUUAGUAGGUUCCUGUGGCUGAGUGUGGAUUUGAAUCUUGAUUUCCUUUAGUGCUACUGCAGCAUGUAAACCACUAUACCAUAUUGCAGGCAAACUGCGGCCCUCCAGCUGUUUGGGCCUCCAACUCCCAGAAGCGCUAACCAGAUUGAUCAAUGGUCUAGAAUUCUGAGAGUUGGUGGCUGGAGGGCCAAAGUUUGAGGACUCCUGCCAUAUUGGCUGUCUCACUACAAAAUACAUAUUUUUAAAUUUAAAAGUAGAAAUGACUAUGACAAUUACAAAUCUUGAUCAUCAUAGUGGGUUUUCCAGGUAGACUAGACCUAUUGAUCAAUGAUAUUUCCAGAAGUGUAGCACUAUUGUUGUUGAACACAGCACACUCACCCCUGUGAUUUAUAGUUUUACAGGGACACUGAACCAAAAUAAGAUAUUUUUUUCUUUUCUUCACUGAGCUUCCACAAUUCCAGCAAAUAACAAUAUUGGCAGAUAGACCAGAGGCAACUCUCCUUUAAAAAAAUCUUUCUAUUUUUAGUUUGCAGGUAUGUGCUGAUAUGUAUCAGCACAUAUAUGGAGCAGAACAGCAACUCCCCCUCAAAGAUUCUAUUGUUCCUAACUCUCCAAUAAUAUGUAUCUUUUCUUAUAACUUUCUGUCUACUUUAUAUCCUUUGCUCCCUGUCCUGUUCCUGUGUGUGUGUGUGUGUAUAUAUAUAUAUAUAGGCUAUAAGAUUUCUGCCAAAGCAAGCCGCAAGGGUCUUCACCUUGCUGCUGACCCCACCGAGGAAUUUCCUGGACAAGAUGGGAUUGGGCACAUCCUCUGGCUGCCCCAGACAAAGAUGACAAUCAGGACCCAUUGUGUGCACAUGUGAAUCAACAGAUGGUUUCCGCUACCGAUCUGAUAAGUGCCAGCCGAUAUUUGUGUAAUCAAAUGUCCCACUUGGGCUAAGAGAUUGCCAACUAUAAAGAUGAGGAUUCACAAUAUACAUCCAAGUCUGGACCCUGAUAGCAAUCACCACCAUUUGUUUCAGGUUUCCCGGACACUUGACUAUCAUAGCCCCAUCUUUAUCAUCCAAAGUUGGACUAUUAUGUUAGUCAGAAGCCCCCUAAGCCCUCCAAAUAUGGUCACAAGAACUUCCUGGGGUCGCCCCCUCCCAAAAGGGCACCUCCUACAGGUGAUCAGGCUGUCAGAAACCAACCUCAGCCAUCUCCUCCCAACUGAGAGAGAAUCCCCAGCUGGAACCAGUGACAUCAGCGGAACCCAGCCAAUAAGAGAGCAGGCCCAGGUUGGCCUCUUCCCUCAGCCAACCCGGGGAGAGAGCAGGAAACUUGAAUGGAAAUGGAACUGCUUAAAAAUCCAUGCUGUCUGUAUUCAUGUUUAUGCUUGUACAUUUUGGCAUCAGUCAUACAUAUGUCCUUUCUGGCCAGAUUGAAUAAACCUCUGUCACCUGUCUUCACCUGAUCUGAAAUUUUGGGCUUUUAGUGUAAUGCUUCCCAGGCACGGGCCUUCAAUAUCCACAAUCCUAAUCUAAAUUUGACCUCACUAUCCAUUGAAUUCAAUGUUUAAGCCCCACUUCUGUAAUACCCUGCAUUUUCAGGGCAAAAAACUUUGACAUCAAAUGUUCUCAGCGUUCUCACUCCAUUCUAAUUCUUUUUUCUAUCCUUGAAAUUGUAAUGCAACUCUGUGGUUUCUGUUCUAGGAUUCCAUAGCAAAGGGACAGCAUUCUGAAGCCAGUAAUGGUGUGAUCUGGUAAUGGAGAAGGAUGAAGUUAUCUGCUGUUCGCCUCCGUUGUCUUGGCUCUUUGUGCCAUUCCAUGACGUGGACCUUCUUGUGAUGACUUCACCCCUUGGACCUUGGACUGGAACUCAACUCGGCUUAUCUCUUCGCUCCCAAAAUCGGCUUGGCGUCGUUCCUGUCUUUGUGGCUGUCUACUGUUGCUGACUACUGGCUUUGUUUCCGACCCUGACGCAUUCUCCUUAUCCCGACUUCGGACCGGCUUGACUACGUUUCAGCAUUCUGCUCCUUUAACUCCUGGCUCGGCGUUUGUCUCUGCAGUGGUUUGCCGCUAACUCUUCAGCGUCUUCCAGUUUCACUUGCUUUUGCUGCUCACAGCAAGGAGCUUUUUAGCCGGGUUUGGGUUCUUGUUUCAGUUUGAAAUCGCUGUUGUACUUCUGGGUUUUGGGAAAGUUUUUGGGGCUUCAUAACUGUUUGCCUUUGUUUGUUUUGCCAUUUUAAGCCUGUUUUGAGCUUUUGGGCUGAGUUCAAGUAUUCUAUGUUAAAUCCGGAUUAUAUCUCUGGUUAAUCCGGAUUAUAUGCCAAUUAAUGCUUUUGGCGUUUUUCCUACUUUGACUGCCUAAUAACACUGAAGAUUAAGUGUUUCAAGUCUUUGUUAAUUUACUGAACUAUUUUGGGACUAUUACUUUAUUAAACUAUAUUUUGGCUCUCA